GCGCUCCGGUACCGUUGGUUGGCUGCUUUCACCGGAUCGCCGGCUCCAGCUCCGCGGUCGCGGUGGCCCGGCCCGGAUGGUGUUGCGAGCGCGCAGCCCCACUGGCCUCCAUCCCUGGUGGCUUCACUCAGAGUCGUUAUCAGCCUCGACCGCCCCGCGGCACAGCCCCCCCUGCCUCCGUGGGUCUCUCUGGGAGCGCUGGCCGCUGGGGUCACCUGUAGAUUCCUGUGUACGUGGUCAUUCCACGCUCGCCGUGCGUGCUCGCAGAGAGCCUCUGGCCCCAGAAGGUCGAGCAAGACCUGACAGCCCUCCAGCAGACGUGCGCUCUUUUUUCUCCCUGGGAUGGAGAGUCCGGUGUGUCCCAGCGCCAUCUCUUCCCCCAACAGGUUUCUGCAAACGAAGCGCUCCUUGACUGGGAAGAUGGGGCUCUGUUGCCAUCUGGUGGCCACUGGCUUGACUACAGUGAUGGACAAAUUCCACUUGAUGCCUCAUCCAGGUCUCAAUGAAGCUCAGAGAGAGGUCUUUGAAGGUCCCGGAAUCUAAAUCUUCUGAUUGUCAAGACCUUAUUCACCCAGAGGUUUUCUGGCCCUUACUUGAAUGUCUCCUGUGGUGGAGAGUUCACUGCCUAACCAGACACCCAAGUCCAUUCUCAGACAUCUCUCAUUUUGAGUAAAUUCUUUAUAGAGAAUAAAAUAUUGCUCCCUUGAAUUGUC
This is a long non-coding RNA of Canis lupus familiaris (dog), 713 nucleotides long. RefSeq lists it as uncharacterized. Lineage: Eukaryota; Metazoa; Chordata; Mammalia; Carnivora; Canidae. The record is from RefSeq and is a predicted model, not a curated record. The transcript has 2 exons.